GGGCAGAAACUUCUAUUCUUCUGUGAACAUGACAAAGAGCUUCUUUGUGUCGUCUGUCAGACUUCAAAAAAUCACAAAAAUCACCCAGUCUGUCCAGUGGAAGAGGCUGUACUAGAACUGAAGGAGGAACUCAAGCCUGCACUUAAUCUUAUUAAAGAAAAACUGAAGAGGUUUGCUGAGGUUGAACAAGAAUGUAAGGAAACAGCAGAACACAUCAAGAGUCAGGCCCAGCACACAGAGAGGCAGAUAAAGGCAGAGUUUGAGAAGCUCCACCAGUUCCUGCGAGAGGAAGAGGAGGUCAGACUAGCUGUACUGAGGGUGGAAGAUGAGCAGAAGAGUCGGAUCAUGAAGGAGAAGAUAGAAAACAUCACAAGACAAAUCUCCACUCUUUCUGACAAAAUCACAGCUAUAGAGAGGGUCAUGGACACUGAAGACACCUCCGUUUUACAGGUAGGAGCUUGAUUUAUUUUAAUUCAAUAUGCUGGUUUGUGGUUUUUCACAAUAUUUGGCCGUGUUCCCUUAUUCUGCACCAAUGCAGCAGUAGCCUACUGUGAGUGUGUCAAACUCAGAGUGCAGGUGUUCAAAGAGAUGCAUCGGCUCAUUUUAAAAUGUCAUCACAAAUUUUUUUUUUAUAUUUUUUAAUUUUGUAAAAAAUUGGUGUCACCAGAAAGUCAAUAGAAAACAUCACCACUGCAGAGUAGGACAUGUCCUGUAUAAUUUACAGAAGGCCUCAUUUCCCCCACAUAAUUGUCUUUCACCAUUGUGUCCUCUAUAAUAGCAGUGACACUGCACACUACAUGCAGGUAACUGCUGCAAAGUUCAAGACAGAUGGAUGAAACUGCCUGUUCACUCUCUAGAUUUGCAGUGAGUUGAUUCGGAGUUGAUGAGCAAUCUUCCAGCCACAUGGUAGCAAAAUUAAUGGUCAACAAAACCUGCCCAGCAUUUUUAUACACAACCGUGAGAAUGCUGGGAUGUUCACUGCUUAAUUAUCUCAGGAGUCACACCUGUGUGGAAGCUCCUGCUUUCAAUAUUCUUUGCAUCCUUCAUUUAUUCAAGCGUUUCCUUUAUCUUGACGGUUACCUGUACAUUACAGUACCUUCAUUCGUAUUUGCUUACUGUUAAAAUUACAUCACUUUUAUUUGCCUGGCUCUUGUUUUUCACUUAUUAUAACAUGUCUCUCCUAAUGGUCUCUACUGAGUACGUUUAUACAUGUAUACAUCUUAUUACAAUUGUGCUGUUAUGUGUUUUUCAGAGCUACAAGAACAUCAAGGAAAGGUAUGCAGACUCUGACCUAUUUUCAAGUGUCUGUUUAAGUCUCUUUAAACCCUAAAUCUGGGGCGACAUAACUCUGGAGGUAAGAGCGGUUGUCUGGCAGUCGGAGGGUUGCCAAUUUGAUCCCCUGCCCUGGGUGUGUCGACGUGUCCCUGACCAAGACACCUAACCCCCAAUUGCUCCUGAAGAGCUGAUUGGUACCUUUCAUGGCAGCCUUUCACCGUUGGCGUGUGAGUGAAUGGGUGAAUGAGAGGCAUCAAUUGUAAAGCGCCUUGGAUAAAAGCGCUAUAUAAAUGCAGUCCAUUUACCAUUUAAAGCCUGAGUGACUCCUGCUUGUCAUUACAGAGCCCAGUGCACACUGCAGGACCCAGAGCUGCUCUCAGGGGCACUGAUAGAUGUGGCCAAACACCUGGGCAACCUGAAGUUCAGAGUCUGGGAGAAGAUGCUGAAGAUGGUGCAGUACAGUGAGUAUCUGGGGCAGCCGGUGAAAUUAUGUUUUUUCCAUGUAUUUAAUGAACACACAGAUCUGAAGAAACAAGCUGUAUUCUGAAAUGGUGCUAAAGAUAAACAAUACGGAGUCACCCAGUCUCAGUUUAUGAAGGUCCCAUGGGGUGCAUUGCUCUUCUCUCAAUUUGAAAUUAGAUCCCAGGCAAACACAGAAUUAGCAUUAUAUAUAAAACCUAAUUAAUAAUAUGUUUUUUUAGCUGUGUGAAUUGAAUUUUGAAAUGUGUUAGUUGAUUUAUUCAUUUUCAUAUUCAUUUCAUGUUUAAAGUAUGAAUCACUUUAACUACAGUAUAUAUGAAUCUGAAUAAAAACAUGUUUUCAAUGUACAAAAAUGCCAAGUUACUCACACAUACACAGCACUAUAAGUCAUUAAGACUUGCAAAAUCUAGGCCUGCCAUUAAAAGUAAUGAUAUCAAAAUUAGGCCAAGUUACAAUAAACAAUGUUUAUAUUUAUCUUAGCUAAGACAAAUUAAACAUUUUUUAUGUGAUACUUUAAUGUGACACUUAAAAGUUUGAAUGACCACAUUCCCUUCAAAUGGUAAUAUGAAAUAACACAGGGCCAAGUUACUUAAAUAAUUUAGGUGGUCCUGUGGGUAGCACUGUCGCCUCACGACAGGAAGGUUCUGGGUUCGAAUCUCUGCUUGGAGUUUGCAUGUUCUUCGUUGUGUCCGUGUGGGUUUCCUCCCCUAGUCCAAACACAUGCAGGUAGGCCGAUUGGAGACCAUAAAUUUCCCAUAAGUGUGAGUGAAUGGUGUGUCCCCCCUGCGAUAGAUUGGUAGCCUGACCAGGGUGUAUUCCUGCCUCUCGACCAAUGCACGCUGGGAUAGGCUCCAGCAACUCUCGCGACCCUGCUCAGGAUAAGCAGGUGUAGAUAAUGGAUGGAUGGAUAGGUAGCAGCAUUGCUUUGGAAUACAGCUUAAUUUGUGUGAGCUAAAAUGACCAAUAUUGUUUCAUGUAACUUGGUGCAAUUUUGAUACCAAUACACCUAAUGAUAGGUAUAGAUUUGAAUGAUGACUUAUAGACAGUGCUUUGUAUGUGAGUACCUGGGCAUUUUUUGUAUGUUGAAAGUGUGUUUUUCUUCAGAUAUCAUUUCUUUUGUACUGUGUUUGUUAUGAGUUAGUGAUAAUAGUAAUUCAUGUAAAUGUUGGUUGAGAGACAUGCAUACACAUACACAUGCAUUUAAACACACAUUCUAGCUGACAUAAAUGCAUAUGGAUUCAAUCAUUUUCCCUUUAAAAUGAAUGACAAAUAAAUGAAAGUGUAUUUCAUAUUUUUCAAUGGAAGCGUUUGUAAUGGGCUACUGUACAUAACUUACAAUUUUUUGUAUGUCGGUAGAGGAUAUAUAGAGCUAGCUAACUUGAAAAUUUAAAAAAGUGGCAUUGCAGUGUAGUCAUGGUAGCCUAGUUAAAAAGUAUUGAACAGUAGAUAUGGCAGAGCGAUGUAUUUGACAUUGUCACUUUUUAAGAAAAUAGAUAUACAUGCCGUGAAGAAGUCGUUAUCCUGUGUCAGGUUCUAUAUGACCGGUAACAUUACCUACCGGACCGCAAUGCAACGCUGAUAGGUAGCUAACAUUAAACUCAGUCAAAAUACCGAAGGCGGAACUGUGUAAAGCGUGGGUAUAUUUAUUCUGUAGUUGUAUAAAUACAGAAAUAUAAAUUACUUUCCCACAAAGAUUAUUGACAUGCAAAAAUAUAGUUUCAGUGUUUUAUUUUUAGUUUGAGUGAGAGGUUUUUAUGAGUCCGAGGUGGGGUUUG
Long non-coding RNA from Anguilla rostrata (American eel), 3530 nucleotides. RefSeq lists it as uncharacterized. The record is from RefSeq and is a predicted model, not a curated record. NCBI's taxonomy places the organism in Eukaryota, Metazoa, Chordata, Actinopteri, Anguilliformes, Anguillidae. The transcript has 3 exons.